Molecule: ribosomal RNA, 496 nt
Filed under: uncultured bacterium
Lineage: Bacteria
Description: bacterial SSU rRNA
Rfam family: Bacterial small subunit ribosomal RNA
Source: RNAcentral
AUGGCUCAGGAUGAACGCUAGCUACAGGCUUAACACAUGCAAGUCGAGGGGCAGCGCAGUGUAGCAAUACAUGGGCGGCGACCGGCGCACGGGUGCGUAACGCGUAUCCAACCUUCCCGUUACUCAGGGAUAGCCUUCCGAAAGGGAGAUUAAUACCUGAUGGUGUUCAAAUUCCGCAUGUUAUUUGAACUAAAGAUUUAUCGGUAACGGAUGGGGGAUGCGUGACAUUAGAUAGUAGGCGGGGUAACGGCCCACCUAGUCUACGAUGUCUAGGGGUUCUGAGAGGAAGGUCCCCCACACUGGAACUGAGACACGGUCCAGACUCCUACGGGAGGCAGCAGUGAGGAAUAUUGGUCAAUGGUCGGAAGACUGAACCAGCCAAGUAGCGUGAAGGAUGAAGGUUCUAUGGAUUGUAAACUUCUUUUAUACGGGAAUAAAACCACCUACGUGUAGGUGCUUGUAUGUACCGUAUGAAUAAGCAUCGGCUAACUCCGUG